Molecule: ribosomal RNA, 495 nt
Filed under: uncultured bacterium
Lineage: Bacteria
Description: partial 16S ribosomal RNA
Rfam family: Bacterial small subunit ribosomal RNA
Source: RNAcentral
GACGAACGCUGGCGGCGUGCCUAAUACAUGCAAGUAGAACGCUGAAGGAGGAGCUUGCUUCUCUGGAUGAGUUGCGAACGGGUGAGUAACGCGUAGGUAACCUGCCUGGUAGCGGGGGAUAACUAUUGGAAACGAUAGCUAAUACCGCAUAAGAGUAGAUGUUGCAUGACAUUUGCUUAAAAGGUGCAAUUGCAUCACUACCAGAUGGUCCUGCGUUGUAUUAGCUAGUAGGUGGGGUAACGGCUCACCAAGGCGACGAUACAUAGCCGACCUGAGAGGGUGAUCGGCCACACUGGGACUGAGACACGGCCCAGACUCCUACGGGAGGCAGCAGUAGGGAAUCUUCGGCAAUGGACGGAAGUCUGACCGAGCAACGCCGCGUGAGUGAAGAAGGGUUUCGGAUCGUAAAGCUCUGUUGUAAGGGAAGAACGAGUGUGGGAGUGAAAAGUUCACACUGUGACGGUAGCUUACCAGAAAGAGACGGCUAACUACGUG